Molecule: ribosomal RNA, 495 nt
Filed under: uncultured bacterium
Lineage: Bacteria
Description: partial 16S ribosomal RNA
Rfam family: Bacterial small subunit ribosomal RNA
Source: RNAcentral
GACGAACGCUGGCGGCGUGCCUAAUACAUGCAAGUAGAACGCUGAAGGAGGAGCUUGCUUCUCUGGAUGAGUUGCGAACGGGUGAGUAACGCGUAGGUAACCUGCCUGGUAGCGGGGGAUAACUAUUGGAAACGAUAGCUAAUACCGCAUAAGAGUAGAUGUUGCAUGACAUUUGCUUAAAAGGUGCAAUUGCAUCACUACCAGAUGGACCUGCGUUGUAUUAGCUAGUUGGUGGGGUAACGGCUCACCAAGGCGACGAUACAUAGCCGACCUGAGAGGGUGAUCGGCCACACUGGGACUGAGAAACGGCCCAGACUCCUACGGGAGGCAGCAGUAGGGAAUCUUCGGCAAUGGACGGAAGUCUGACCGAGCAACGCCGCGUGAGUGAAGAAGGUUUUCGGAUCGUAAAGCUCUGUUGUAAGAGAAGAACGAGUGUGAGAGUGGAAAGUUCACACUGUGACGGUAUCUUAACAGAAAGGGACGGCUAACUACGUG